RNAcentral lists this ribosomal RNA (801 nucleotides) under uncultured bacterium. RNAcentral's name for it is "bacterial SSU rRNA". It matches the Rfam family "Bacterial small subunit ribosomal RNA", at positions 8 to 796 of the family's 1533-position model. The record is from RNAcentral.
AGAGUUUGAUCAUGGCUCAGGACGAACGCUGGCGGCGUGCCUAACACAUGCAAGUCGAACGGGACUGGGGGCAACUCCAGUUCAGUGGCAGAUGGGUGCGUAACACGUGAGGAACUUGUCCGACGGCGGGGGAUAGCCGGCCCAACGGCCGGGUAAUACCGCGUACGCUCAUUUGGGGACAUCCCUGGGUGAGGAAAGCAGCCGCAAGGUUGCGCCGAUGGAGAGCCUCGCGGCGUAUCAGCUAGUUGGCGGGGUAAUGGCCCACCAAGGCUACGACGCGUAGCUGGUCUGAGAGGAUGGCCAGCCACAUUGGGACUGAGGCACGGCCCAGACUCCUACGGGAGGCAGCAGUGGGGAAUAUUGCGCAAUGGCCGAAAGGCUGACGCAGCGACGCCGCGUGUGGGAUGACGGCCCUCGGGUUGUAAACCACUGUCGGGGGGGGACGAAUACAGGGCCUCGAAUAGGGGGACCCUGGGUGACGGUACCUCCAAAGGAAGCACCGGCUAACUCCCGUGCCAGCAGCCGCGGUAAUACGGAGGGUGCGAGCGUUGUCCGGAAUCACUGGGCGUAAAGGGCGCGUAGGCGGUUCGUUAAGUUGCUGGUGAAAUCCCGGGGCUCAACUCCGGGGCUGCCGGCAAGACUGGCGGGCUAGAGCACGGUAGAGGCGGAUGGAAUUCCCGGUGUAGCGGUGGAAUGCGUAGAUAUCGGGAAGAAUACCGGUGGCGAAGGCGUCGCUGGGCCGUNNCUGAGCUGAGGCGCGACAGCGUGGGGAGCAAACAGGAUUAGAUACCCNNGUAGUCC